RNAcentral lists this ribosomal RNA (379 nucleotides) under uncultured bacterium. RNAcentral's name for it is "bacterial SSU rRNA". It matches the Rfam family "Bacterial small subunit ribosomal RNA", at positions 71 to 452 of the family's 1533-position model. The record is from RNAcentral.
AGCACGGGGGCAACCCUGGUGGCGAGCGGCGAACGGGUGAGUAACACAUCGGAACAUGCCCAGUCGUGGGGGAUAACACUUCGAAAGAAGUGCAAAUACCGCAUACGUCCUGAGGGAGAAAGCGGGGGAUCGCAAGACCUCGCGCGAUUGGAGUGGCCGAUGUCAGAUUAGCUAGUUGGUGGGGUAAAGGCCUACCAAGGCAACGAUCUGUAGCUGGUCUGAGAGGAUGAUCAGCCACACUGGGACUGAGACACGGCCCAGACUCCUACGGGAGGCAGCAGUGGGGAAUUUUGGACAAUGGGGGCAACCCUGAUCCAGCCAUUCCGCGCGAGUGAAGAAGGCCUUCGGGUUGUAAAGCUCUUUCGGCAGGAACGAAACG